GGAUUAGGCAUGCAAGUCGGACGGGAUCCUUAGGGUUCAAGUUUUCGGACGAGAAUUCUUUGGUGAGAGUGGCGAACGGGUGAGUAACACGUGGGCAAUCUGCCCCGAAGUUGGGGAUAGCCCUCCGAAAGGAGGGAUAAUACCGAAUGUGGUCGCCUCGCGCAUGCGAGGUUGUCUAAAGGUGGGGAUCCGAAAGGACCUGCCGCUUCAGGAUGAGCCCGCGUCCCAUCAGCUUGUUGGUAGGGUAACGGCCUACCAAGGCUUACGGGUAGCUGGUCUGAGAGGAUGGUCAGCCACACUGGGACUGAGACACUGCCCAGACUCCUACGGGAGGCUGCAGUCGAGAAUCAUUCGCAAUGCACGGAAGUGUGACGAUGCGACGCCGCGUGCAGGAUGAAGGCCUUCGGGUUGUAAACUGUUGUCGUGGGGGAACAAUAGCGUGAGGGUGAAUAGCCUUUACGUUUGAUGGUACCCCAGGAGGAAGCCACGGCUAACUCUGUGCCAGCAGCCGCGGUAAUACAGAGGUGGCGAGCGUUGUUCGGAUUUACUGGGCGUAAAGGGUGCGUAGGCGGCGUCGUGUGUCGAAUGUGAAAUCCCACUUUUUAUUAGUGGAACUGCAUUCGAAACUACGGUGCUAGAGUACAGGAGAGGAGAGUGGAACUUCUGGG
This 668-nucleotide ribosomal RNA is filed under the name uncultured Planctomycetales bacterium. RNAcentral's name for it is "bacterial SSU rRNA". It matches the Rfam family "Bacterial small subunit ribosomal RNA", at positions 46 to 674 of the family's 1533-position model. The record is from RNAcentral. Lineage: Bacteria; Pseudomonadati; Planctomycetota; Planctomycetia; Planctomycetales.